This is a long non-coding RNA of Oncorhynchus tshawytscha (Chinook salmon), 335 nucleotides long. Lineage: Eukaryota; Metazoa; Chordata; Actinopteri; Salmoniformes; Salmonidae. The record is from Ensembl.
UUACAGGGUACAGUGUUUAAUAGUCACAUGUACUGGGUUACAGGUGCUAUUACAGGGUACAGUGUUUAAUAGUCACAUGUACAGGGUUGCAGGUGUUAUUACAGGGUACAGUGUUUAAUAGUCACAUGUACAGGGUUGCAGGUGUUAUUACAGUGUUUAAUAGUCACAUGUACAGGGUUACAGGUGUUAUUACAGGGUACAGUGUUUAAUAGUCACAUGUACUGGGUUGCAGGUGUUAUUACAGGGUACAGUGUUUAAUAGUCACAUGUACAGGGUUACAGGUGUUAUUACAGUGUUUAAUAGUCACAUGUACAGGGUUGCAGGUGUUAUUACAG